RNAcentral lists this ribosomal RNA (253 nucleotides) under uncultured bacterium. RNAcentral's name for it is "partial 16S ribosomal RNA". It matches the Rfam family "Bacterial small subunit ribosomal RNA", at positions 524 to 776 of the family's 1533-position model. The record is from RNAcentral.
UACAGAGGUCCCAAGCGUUGUUCGGAUUCACUGGGCGUAAAGGGUGCGUAGGUGGCGGGGUAAGUCGGAUGUGAAAUCUCGGAGCUCAACUCCGAAAUGGCAUUGGAAACUACCCUGCUAGAGGGUCGGAGGGGGGACUGGAAUACUUGGUGUAGCAGUGAAAUGCGUAGAUAUCAAGUGGAACACCAGUGGCGAAGGCGAGUCCCUGGACGACUCCUGACACUGAGGCACGAAAGCUAGGGGAGCAAACGGG